GCCAGUCGCAUCGCCGGGUAGCUAUGUUCGGAAGGGAUAACCGCUGAAAGCAUCUAAGCGGGAAGCCUACCUCAAGAUAAGAUUUCCCUAGGACUUUAUGUCCUCUAAAGAGCCGUUCGAGACUAGGACGUUGAUAGGUUGGAUGUGGAAGCAUAGUGAUAUGUGAAGCUGACCAAUACUAAUUGCUCGUGAGGCUUGACUAUACAACACCCAAGCAGUUG
RNAcentral lists this ribosomal RNA (221 nucleotides) under Acinetobacter baumannii. Its description in RNAcentral is "partial 23S ribosomal RNA". It matches the Rfam family "Bacterial large subunit ribosomal RNA", at positions 2728 to 2925 of the family's 2925-position model. Lineage: Bacteria; Pseudomonadati; Pseudomonadota; Gammaproteobacteria; Moraxellales; Moraxellaceae. The record is from RNAcentral.